RNAcentral lists this long non-coding RNA (696 nucleotides) under Rattus norvegicus (Norway rat). RNAcentral's name for it is "long non-coding RNA NONRATT007130". The record is from RNAcentral. Lineage: Eukaryota; Metazoa; Chordata; Mammalia; Rodentia; Muridae.
UUUGUACAAUUUAUUUCCCACUGCUGGGAACUGGCAAGUCCACAUUCAUAUAGGCCUCUUUGAACCUCAAAACUGUCCAGACAGCCUCAAUGCAUAGCUUUUUCUAGAAAUGAAUUGUCUUCUUGUCCUUUGACAAAUGGGGUUAGGGGUUUCCAGAACACAGAGUGUCAGCUAGUGAGAGCCAGCAGACACUCAUGUUAACAGGACUCAAGCAAACCCAUCUUUGUAGUGGCUCUGCCCUUCCCAGCACUUGCAAGUUACAUAAAUCUGUCUUCAAUAGCAUUUCCCUUCCCCCAGGCACAAGCAACCCAGGUCUUUAUUGCAGAAACACUGGCCUAAGGGUAGCAUAGACAUUUGUCUCUAGGAGGGGGCAUGUGUCCCUAGGACUACAUACAGAUGGACAGUGCAUCUGUUCGUGGAGAAACCCACAGAAGUCUGAUAAAAUCCUGUGGAAGAUACAGACCUAGACACUUUCCUCUUAUUCAUUUAAAGCUUUUCCUUGGCUGGAAAUGUUGACAGCCAUGCGGACACACACUGUAUGGACCCAUUCACUGUAUAUUCCUCUUGCACAUGCUAAUAGCCAUUUCCCUUUGAAGGUCUUUGGAUUGUGCAGAGUAGUUUUGACCUACAGUACAGAAGCCUCUGACUUGGAAACCCCAGAAUACACUGACCUGAUCUGUGAAGUCUUCAACACUG